CGGGAGGUUGCGGCGAGUACGCUCGUUGCCUCGGGCGCAAGAGGUCUCCGGUUCAAAUUCGGGCACCCCAACCA
This 74-nucleotide transfer RNA is filed under the name Acidobacteriota bacterium. RNAcentral's name for it is "Acidobacteria bacterium tRNA-Pro". The record is from RNAcentral. Lineage: Bacteria; Pseudomonadati; Acidobacteriota.